RNAcentral lists this ribosomal RNA (406 nucleotides) under uncultured bacterium. RNAcentral describes it as "partial 16S ribosomal RNA". It matches the Rfam family "Bacterial small subunit ribosomal RNA", at positions 28 to 526 of the family's 1533-position model. The record is from RNAcentral.
GAUGAACGCUAGCUACAGGCUUAACACAUGCAAGUCGAGGGACCGGCGCACGGGUGAGUAACACGUAUCCAACCUGCCCUUUACUCGGUGAUAGCCUUUCGAAAGAAAGAUUAAUACCCGAUGUAAAGGAUGGGGAUGCGUUCAAUUAGGUUGUUGGUGAGUUAACGGCUCACCAACCCUUCGAUGGAUAGGGGUUCUGAGAGGAAGGUCCACCACAUUGGAGUUGAGACACGGUCCAAACUCCGACGGGAGGCAGCAGUGAGGAAUAGUGGUCAAUGGGCGUUAGGCUGAACCAGCCAAGUAGCGUGAAGGAUGAAGGCUUAUGGGUCGUAAACUUCUUUUAUAUAAAAAUAUGUAUUAUAUGAAUAAGGACCGGCUAACUCCGUGGCAGCCGCCGCGGUAAUUC